GUCCACGCCCUAACGAUGGACACUAGGUGUGGGAGGUAUCGACCCCUUCCGUGCCGUAGCAAACGCAUUAAGUGUCCCGCCUGGGGAGUACGGUCGCAAGAUUAAAACUCAAAGGAAUUGACGGGCCCGCACAAGCGGUGGAGCAUGUGGUUUAAUUCGACGCAACGCGAAGAACCUUACCUGGGCUUGACAUCCCUGGAACCCCUAUGAAAGUAGGGGUGCCUAGCAAUAGGAGCCAGGAGACAGGUGCUGCAUGGCUGUCGU
This 264-nucleotide ribosomal RNA is filed under the name uncultured bacterium. RNAcentral describes it as "partial 16S ribosomal RNA". It matches the Rfam family "Bacterial small subunit ribosomal RNA", at positions 793 to 1055 of the family's 1533-position model. The record is from RNAcentral.